Molecule: ribosomal RNA, 253 nt
Filed under: uncultured bacterium
Lineage: Bacteria
Description: partial 16S ribosomal RNA
Rfam family: Bacterial small subunit ribosomal RNA
Source: RNAcentral
UACGAAGGGGGCUAGCGUUGUUCGGAAUCACUGGGCGUAAAGCGCACGUAGGCGGAUGUGCCAGUCAGGGGUGAAAUCCCGGAGCUCAACUUCGGAACUGCCUCUGAUACAGCACGUCUUGAGUCCGGAAGAGGUGGGUGGAAUUCCGAGUGUAGAGGUGAAAUUCGUAGAUAUUCGGAAGAACACCAGUGGCGAAGGCGACUCACUGGACACAUAUUGACGCUGAGGUGCGAAAGCGUGGGGAGCAAACAGG